CCUACGGGAGGCAGCAGUGGGGGAUAUUGCACAAUGGGGGGAACCCUGAUGCAGCGACGCCGCGUGGGUGAAGGAGCGUUUCGGCGCGUCACGCCCUAUCGGCAGGGAAGCAGGAGGACGGUCCCUGACUAAGAAGCCCCGGCUAACUACGUGCCAGCAGCCGCGGGAAUACGUAGGGGGCAAGCGUUAUCCGGAUUUACUGGGUGUAAAGGGGGCGCAGACGGCAGCGCAAGCCAGGAGUGAAAGCCCGGGGCCCAACCCCGGGACUGCUCUUGGAACUGCGCGGCUGGAGUGCAGGAGGGGCAGGCGGAAUUCCUGGUGUAGCGGUGAAAUGCGUAGAUAUCAGGAGGAACACCGGUGGCGAAGGCGGCCUGCUGGACUGCGACUGACGUUGAGGCCCGAAAGCGUGGGGAGCAAACAGGAUUAGAUACCCCGGUAGUC
Molecule: ribosomal RNA, 441 nt
Filed under: uncultured bacterium
Lineage: Bacteria
Description: partial 16S ribosomal RNA
Rfam family: Bacterial small subunit ribosomal RNA
Source: RNAcentral